UACGGGAGGGUGCAAGCGUUAUCCGGAUUUACUGGGUUUAAAGGGUGCGUAGGUGGGUAGGUAAGUCAGUGGUGAAAUCUUCAAGCUUAACUUGGAAACUGCCAUUGAUACUAUUUAUCUUGAAUACUCUGGAGGUAAGCGGAAUAUGUCAUGUAGCGGUGAAAUGCUUAGAUAUGACAUAGAACACCAAUUGCGAAGGCAGCUUACUACAUAGUUAUUGACACUGAGGCACGAAAGCGUGGGGAGCAAACAGG
RNAcentral lists this ribosomal RNA (254 nucleotides) under uncultured bacterium. RNAcentral's name for it is "partial 16S ribosomal RNA". It matches the Rfam family "Bacterial small subunit ribosomal RNA", at positions 524 to 776 of the family's 1533-position model. The record is from RNAcentral.